GACGAACGCUGGCGGCGUGCCUAACACAUGCAAGUCGAGCGAGGAGAGUUCCUUCGGGAACAAACCUGGCGGCGGACGGGUGAGUAACACGUGGGCAACCUGCCUUGUAGAGGGAAUAGCCUUCCGAAAGGAAGAUUAAUACCGCAUAACAUUACAGUUUCGCAUGAAACAGUAAUUAAAGGAGUAAUCCGCUACAAGAUGGGCCCGCGGCGCAUUAGCUAGUUGGUGAGGUAACGGCUCACCAGGGCGACGAUGCGUAGCCGACCUGAGAGGGUGAUCGGCCACAUUGGGACUGAGACACGGCCCAGACUCCUACGGGAGGCAGCAGUGGGGAAUAUUGCACAAUGGGGGAAACCCUGAUGCAGCAACGCCGCGUGAGUGAUGAAGGUUUUUCGGAUCGUAAAGCUCUGUCUUCGGGGACGAUAAUGACGGUACCCGAGGAGAAAGCCACGGCUAACUACGUG
This 464-nucleotide ribosomal RNA is filed under the name uncultured bacterium. RNAcentral describes it as "bacterial SSU rRNA". It matches the Rfam family "Bacterial small subunit ribosomal RNA", at positions 28 to 507 of the family's 1533-position model. The record is from RNAcentral.